This 492-nucleotide ribosomal RNA is filed under the name uncultured bacterium. RNAcentral's name for it is "partial 16S ribosomal RNA". It matches the Rfam family "Bacterial small subunit ribosomal RNA", at positions 29 to 507 of the family's 1533-position model. The record is from RNAcentral.
AGUGAACGCUGGCGGCAGGCCUAACACAUGCAAGUCGAACGGCAGCACAGUAAGAGCUUGCCUUUACGGGUGGCGAGUGGCGGACGGGUGAGGAAUACAUCGGAAUCUACUUUUUCGUGGGGGAUAACGGAGGGAAACAUACGCUAAUACCGCAUACGAUCUACGGGUUAAAGCAGGAGAUCUUGAGACCUUGCGUGUCUGAAUGAGACGAUGUCGCAUUAGCUAGUUGGCGGGGUAAAGGCCCACCAAGGCAACGAUCCGUAGCUGGUCUGAGCGGAUGAUCAGCCACAUUGGAACUGAGACACGGUCCAGACUCCUACGGGAGGCAGCAGUGGGGAAUAUUGGACAAUGGGCGCAAGCCUGACCCAGCCAUGCCGCGUGGGUGAAGAAGGCCUUCGGGUUGUAAAGCUCUUUUGUUGGGAAAGAAAAGCAGCAGGUUAAUCCCCCGCUGUCCUGACGGUACCCAAAGAAUAAGCACCGGCUAACUUCGUG